Molecule: ribosomal RNA, 542 nt
Filed under: Neomantis hyalina
Lineage: Eukaryota; Metazoa; Arthropoda; Insecta; Mantodea; Nanomantidae
Description: partial 16S ribosomal RNA
Rfam family: Bacterial large subunit ribosomal RNA
Source: RNAcentral
CAAAAACAUGGUUUCUUGAGAGAAGAUAAGAGAUUUAACCUGCCCACUGAAGAUUUAUUAUUUUGAAGGGCCGCAGUAUUUUAACUGUGCAAAGGUAGCAUAAUCAUUAGUCUUUUAAUUAAGGGCUAGAAUGAAUGGUUGGACGAGGUAAAUUCUAUAUUUUAAUAAAAAAUUGAAUUUAGAAUUUAAGUUAAAAUACUUAAAUAUUAAUAAGGGACGAGAAGACCCUAUAGAGUUUUAUAAGCAAGAUUUUAAUUGAGUUUUUAAGUAAUUUUUGGUUAAUUAUUAAGUUUAUUUAAUUGGGGUGAUUAAAAGAUAAAGAAAACUCUUUUUUGAUUUAAAUAUAUUUAAUAGAGGUUAGAUCCAUAAAUUAUAUUAAUGAUUAUAAGAUUAAAUUACCUUAGGGAUAACAGCAUAAUUCUUUUAAAGAGUUCUUAUCGAAAAAAGAGAUUGUGACCUCGAUGUUGGAUUAAGAUAAAUUUUGGGUGUAGAAGUCUAAAUUUUAGGUCUGUUCGACCUUUAAAUUCUUACAUGAUCUGAGU